UAAUUUCAAUGGAAACUUUAGUGUUUUAGACCUUGCCCACGUAGCUGAAUGCUCAUCUCUGGAUCUUAUUUCCAGUCCUCAGGAGGACCGGUUUUGAUGACCUAGUCUGAUUACAGCAUCUUUGACAGCUUUAAAGAAAUUUGCUCCGGGGAAGGAGACAGCUGCUGCUCUGAUGAAGGAUUUUUCUGAGCAGGCCUCCCAAGCUAGACAUGUCAGUAUGAGAUGCUGCCUACGUUUUUCAUCAUGACCAACAGGAGAGGCAUUCAGCAUCUGGUUCACCCAUCACUCUUCCACAGCAGGCUGCAGC
This 307-nucleotide long non-coding RNA is filed under the name Calidris pugnax (ruff). RNAcentral's name for it is "lncRNA (ENSCPUG00000004126.1)". Lineage: Eukaryota; Metazoa; Chordata; Aves; Charadriiformes; Scolopacidae. The record is from RNAcentral.